This 440-nucleotide ribosomal RNA is filed under the name uncultured bacterium. RNAcentral's name for it is "partial 16S ribosomal RNA". It matches the Rfam family "Bacterial small subunit ribosomal RNA", at positions 338 to 795 of the family's 1533-position model. The record is from RNAcentral.
CCUACGGGUGGCAGCAGUAGGGAAUAUUGCUCAAUGGGGGAAACCCUGAAGCAGCAACGCCGCGUGGAGGAUGAAGGUUUUCGGAUUGGAAACUCCUUUUGGUAGAGAAGAUAAUGACGGUAUCUAACGAAUAAGCACCGGCUAACUCCGUGCCAGCAGCCGCGGUAAUACGGAGGGUGCAAGCGUUACUCGGAAUCACUGGGCGUAAAGAGCGCGUAGGCGGGAUAGCAAGUCAGAUGUGAAAUCCUAUGGCUUAACCAUAGAACUGCAUUUGAAACUGUUAUUCUAGAGUAUGGGAGAGGUAGGUGGAAGUCUUGGUGUAGGGGUGAAAUCCUUAGAGAUCACGAGGAAUACUCAUUGCGAAGGCGACCUGCUAGAGCAUAACUGACGCUGAUGCGCGAAAGCGUGGGGAGCGAACAGGAUUAGAUACCCUGGUAGUC